CCUACGGGAGGCAGCAGUGGGGAAUUUUGGACAAUGGGCGCAAGCCUGAUCCAGCCAUGCCGCGUGCAGGAUGAAGGCCUUCGGGUUGUAAACUGCUUUUGUACGGAACGAAAAGACUCUGGUUAAUACCUGGGGUCCAUGACGGUACCGUAAGAAUAAGCACCGGCUAACUACGUGCCAGCAGCCGCGGUAAUACGUAGGGUGCGAGCGUUAAUCGGAAUUACUGGGCGUAAAGCGUGCGCAGGCGGUUAUAUAAGACAGAUGUGAAAUCCCCGGGCUCAACCUGGGAACUGCAUUUGUGACUGUAUAGCUAGAGUACGGCAGAGGGGGAUGGAAUUCCGCGUGUAGCAGUGAAAUGCGUAGAUAUGCGGAGGAACACCGAUGGCGAAGGCAAUCCCCUGGGCCUGUACUGACGCUCAUGCACGAAAGCGUGGGGAGCAAACAGGAUUAGAUACCCUGGUAGUCCACGCCCUAAACGAUGUCAACUGGUUGUUGGGUCUUCACUGACUCAGUGACGAAGCUAACGCGUGAAGUUGACCGCCUGGGGAGUACGGCCGCAAGGUUGAAACUUAAGGAAUUGACGG
This 584-nucleotide ribosomal RNA is filed under the name uncultured bacterium. Its description in RNAcentral is "bacterial SSU rRNA". It matches the Rfam family "Bacterial small subunit ribosomal RNA", at positions 338 to 916 of the family's 1533-position model. The record is from RNAcentral.